GGAUGUGAGGGCGAUCUGGCUGCGACAUCUGUCACCCCAUUGAUCGCCAGGGUUGAUUCAGCUGAUCUGGCUGGCUAGGUGGGUGUCCCCUUCCUCCCUCACUGCUCCAUGUGCGUCCCUCCUGAAGCUGUGCACUUGGUGGAUGAGGCCGUCCUCCCAAAUAGAAGGAGUACCAUUCUUCGGUCAAGGGUAUACGAUAGCUGCGCUCCCCUGCUAGAACCUCCAAACACUCUACGUGGGGCUGCCCUUGGUGACGGUUUUGAGGCUGCACAUGGUGUAGAAUGUGGUGACUCACCUCCUUACGGGGGCACAUCACAGUAAGUACCUAACACUGGUGUUCUGUUUGCUG
RNAcentral lists this small nuclear RNA (349 nucleotides) under Sphenodon punctatus (tuatara). RNAcentral describes it as "7SK RNA (ENSSPUG00000000869.1)". It matches the Rfam family "7SK RNA". From Rfam's summary of the family: 7SK was discovered as an abundant small nuclear RNA in the mid-70s but a possible function has only recently been suggested. Two independent studies have found that 7SK RNA binds the CDK9/cyclin T complex (known as elongation factor P-TEFb). Lineage: Eukaryota; Metazoa; Chordata; Lepidosauria; Sphenodontia; Sphenodontidae. The record is from Rfam by way of RNAcentral.